Molecule: ribosomal RNA, 256 nt
Filed under: uncultured bacterium
Lineage: Bacteria
Description: partial 16S ribosomal RNA
Rfam family: Bacterial small subunit ribosomal RNA
Source: RNAcentral
UACGUAGGGGGCAAGCGUUGUCCGGAUUUAUUGGGCGUAAAGAGCGUGUAGGCGGCCAGACAGGUCAGCUGUGAAACUCGAGGCUCAACCUCGAGACGUCGGUUGAAACCGUCUGGCUAGAGUCCGGAAGAGGAGAGUGGAAUUCCCGGUGUGAGCGGUGAAAUGCGCAGAGUAUCGGGAAGAACACCCGUGGCGAAGGCGGCUCUCUGGGACGGUACUGACGGCUGGGACGCGAAAGCGUGGGGAGCGAACGAGG